RNAcentral lists this ribosomal RNA (155 nucleotides) under Solanum tuberosum (potato). RNAcentral describes it as "rRNA 5_8S_rRNA". It matches the Rfam family "Eukaryotic large subunit ribosomal RNA", at positions 223 to 390 of the family's 3401-position model. Lineage: Eukaryota; Viridiplantae; Streptophyta; Magnoliopsida; Solanales; Solanaceae. The record is from Rfam by way of RNAcentral.
GACUCUCGACAACGGAUAUAUCAACUCUCGCAUCGAUGAAGAAUGUAGUGAAAUGCUAUACUUGGUGUGAAUUGCAAAAUCUAAAUACGGGCAAGAGACCGAUAGCGAACAAGUAUCGCGGGGGAAAGAUGAAAAGGACUUUGAAAAGAGAGUCA